CAAUAGCGUAUAUUAAAGUUGUUGCAGUUAAAAAGCUCGUAGUUGGAUUUCUGGUGGGAGCGAUCGGUCUGGCGCUUAGCGCGAGUACUUGCAUCGUCUCCGGCCAUCCUUGGGGAGAGUCUGUCUGGCAUUAGGUUGUCGGGCAGAGGAUCUUCAUCGUUUACUGUGAAAAAAUUAGAGUGUUCAAAGCAGGCUUAUGCCGUUGAAUAUAUUAGCAUGGAAUAAUACGAUAGGACUUUGGUACUAUUUUGUUGGUUUGCGCACCAAAGUAAUGAUUAAUAGGGACAGUUGGGGGUAUUCGUAUUCCGUUGUCAGAGGUGAAAUUCUUGGAUUUACGGAAGACGAACUACUGCGAAAGCAUUUACCAAGGAUGUUUUCAUUAA
RNAcentral lists this ribosomal RNA (383 nucleotides) under uncultured eukaryote. RNAcentral describes it as "partial 18S ribosomal RNA". It matches the Rfam family "Eukaryotic small subunit ribosomal RNA", at positions 592 to 976 of the family's 1831-position model. The record is from RNAcentral.